UACGGAGGGUGCAAGCGUUAUCCGGAUUCACUGGGUUUAAAGGGUGCGUAGGUGGGUUGGUAAGUCAGUGGUGAAGUCUCCGGGCUUAACUCGGAAACUGCCGUUGAUACUAUCAAUCUUGAAUAUCGCGUAGGUAAGCGGAAUAUGUCAUGUAGCGGUGAAAUGCUUAGAUAUGACAUAGAACACCAAUUGCGAAGGCAGCUUACUUCACGAUCAUUGACACUGAGGCACGAAAGCGUGGGGAGCAAACAGG
This 253-nucleotide ribosomal RNA is filed under the name uncultured bacterium. RNAcentral describes it as "partial 16S ribosomal RNA". It matches the Rfam family "Bacterial small subunit ribosomal RNA", at positions 524 to 776 of the family's 1533-position model. The record is from RNAcentral.